AACUACGGGAACGCUAGACGCUCAUAUACAUAACUAGACCCGAGCGCAUGAAUUUAUCUCACCACUUUUCUGCAACAAGAGAUUGGCGGGCUUUGUGCACAGUGUAAUGAUUGGUCCCGAUUCUCUGCUCACGUUUACAUUUUUAGAGACAACGAAUGAGCCCUAAACAUGAAGGCGCAAAAAAUUGAAAUCGCAGAUGUGAUCAAAUACCAC
Molecule: long non-coding RNA, 213 nt
Organism: Rana temporaria (common frog)
Lineage: Eukaryota; Metazoa; Chordata; Amphibia; Anura; Ranidae
Exons: 3
Source: RefSeq, a predicted model, not a curated record